GCCAUCGUGGUGUAAUUGUCAGCACAUUCCACGCAUAUUCGAGAGGACCGAGGUUAGAGUCCCGGCGAGGGCA
RNAcentral lists this transfer RNA (73 nucleotides) under Stegodyphus mimosarum. It matches the Rfam family "tRNA". From Rfam's summary of the family: Transfer RNA (tRNA) molecules are approximately 80 nucleotides in length. The record is from Rfam by way of RNAcentral. Lineage: Eukaryota; Metazoa; Arthropoda; Arachnida; Araneae; Eresidae.